GACCCUUUUUUUGUAGGGAAUAUUAGUUUUAUAAUAUGUUGGUCGUUUGACCCAACUAUUAUAAUAUAAUUGUAGGGAAAUUGUGUACAAAAUUUCUUUUAAAAAAAAAUAAGAGGUGAUAACCAACCUGCAGACGAGAAGACUUUAUUCAGAUUUGGAACGUUCUGAAACUUUACGAAAAGGAAAGGCCAAAUCUUGAGGAGUCGUGACACGUGUUCGACAUUCAAGAUACGAUUCCAAGUAUUUCGAGCUCAUCUCGUGGAGUAAUUUGAGUCCGAGAUUGGAGUGUCUUGGAGUUGCGAUGAGAUGUUUGGAUGUUUUGUGGCUCACACUUUUCUCUAUCUUAUAUUUAUUCUGUUAAAUAUUUAGUUUUUAGACAAGAUAUUAUUUAUGUUGGAUUUUUCAUUUUAGUUUCAGACUUGCAUCGUGUUUUAGAAACUGUUGUACUUAUGACACCAAUUCUUUGGUGGUAUUCUUAGAUUUUUCCGAGAUCCGUAUUUGUAAAGAAAAUGUCAAAGAUUUUUACUCGUUA
Molecule: long non-coding RNA, 532 nt
Organism: Solanum pennellii
Lineage: Eukaryota; Viridiplantae; Streptophyta; Magnoliopsida; Solanales; Solanaceae
Exons: 3
Source: RefSeq, a predicted model, not a curated record